RNAcentral lists this ribosomal RNA (1264 nucleotides) under metagenome. RNAcentral describes it as "bacterial LSU rRNA". It matches the Rfam family "Bacterial large subunit ribosomal RNA", at positions 1644 to 2925 of the family's 2925-position model. The record is from RNAcentral.
GUACCAUAACCGACACAGGUGGGUAAGUAGAGUAUACUAAGGGGCGCGAGAUAACUCUCUCUAAGGAACUCGGCAAAAUAACUCCGUAACUUCGGGAGAAGGAGUGCCUUAUUCUUAAGGUUGCAAUAACAAGAUCCAAGCAACUGUUUAUCAAAAACACAGGUCUCCGCUAAGUCGUAAGACGAUGUAUGGGGGCUGACGCCUGCCCAGUGCCAGAAGGUUAAAGAAGUCGGUUAGCAAUAGCAAAGCUGGUAACUGAAGCCCUGGUGAACGGCGGCCGUAACUAUAACGGUCCUAAGGUAGCGAAAUUCCUUGUCGGGUAAGUUCCGACCCGCACGAAAGGCGUAAUGAUUUGGAUGCUGUCUCGGAGAGGGGCUCGGUGAAAUAGACUUGUCUGUGAAGAUGCGGACUACCUGCACCAGGACAGAAAGACCCUAUGGAGCUUUACUGUAACUUGAAAUUGAAAUUGGACUUUAUUCGCGCAGUAUAGGUGGGAGGCGUUGAUUAUAAUCUUGUGGGAUUAUUGGAGCCAUCAGUGAGAUACCACUCUUGUAAUGUUAGAUUUCUAACUUUGAAUCAUUAUCUGGUCAAAGGACAGUUUCAGGCGGGCAGUUUGACUGGGGCGGUCGCCUCCUAAACGGUAACGGAGGCGUACAAAGGUUUCCUCUGAACGGUUAGAAAUCGUAUCUAGAGUGUAAAGGCAUAAGGAAGCUUGACUGUGAGACCUACAAGUCGAGCAGGGACGAAAGUCGGUCUUAGUGAUCUGACGGUACUGAGUGGAAAGGCCGUCACUCAACGGAUAAAAGUUACUCUAAGGAUAACAGGCUGAUCUCCCCCAAGAGUUCACAUCGACGGGGAGGUUUGGCACCUCGAUGUCGGCUCAUCGCAUCCUGGGGCGGUAGUACGUCCCAAGGGUUGGGCUGUUCGCCCAUGAAAGCGGUACGCGAGCUGGGUUCAGAACGUCGUGAGACAGUUCGGUCCAUAUCCGGUGUAGGCGCUAGAAUAUUGAGAGGAGCCUUCUUUAGUACGAGAGGACCGAGAAGGACAUACCUCUGGUGUACCAGUUAUCGUGCCAACGGUAAACGCUGGGUAGCUAUGUAUGGAGUGGAUAACCGCUGAAAGCAUCUAAGUGGGAAGCCCACCUCAAGAUAAGUAUUCUCAUCACGUAAGUGAGUAAGGUCACGGUAAGACUAACCGUUUGAUAGGCAUUAAGUGUAAGUACAGUAAUGUAUGUGCUGAGAUGUCCUAAUAGACCGAGGACUUG